Molecule: ribosomal RNA, 253 nt
Filed under: uncultured bacterium
Lineage: Bacteria
Description: partial 16S ribosomal RNA
Rfam family: Bacterial small subunit ribosomal RNA
Source: RNAcentral
UACGUAGGGGGCAAGCGUUGUCCGGAUUUAUUGGGCGUAAAGAGCGUGUAGGCGGCUUGGUAGGUCCGUUGUGAAAACUCGAGGCUCAACCUCGAGACGCCGAUGGAAACCAUCAGACUAGAGUCCGGAAGAGGAGAGUGGAAUUCCUGGUGUAGCGGUGAAAUGCGCAGAUAUCAGGAAGAACACCCGUGGCUAAGGCGGCUCUCUAGUACGGUACUGACGCUGAGACGCGAAAGCGUGGGGAGCGAACAGG